UGGGGAAUUUUGGACAAUGGGCGAAAGCCUGAUCCAGCAAUGCCGCGUGUGUGAAGAAGGCCUUCGGGUUGUAAAGCACUUUUGUCCGGAAAGAAAUCCUUGGCUCUAAGUACAGCUCGGGGGAUGACGGUACCGGAAGAAUAAGCACCGGCUAACUACGUGCCAGCAGCCGCGGUAAUACGUAGGGUGCAAGCGUUAAUCGGAAUUACUGGGCGUAAAGCGUGCGCAGGCGGUUUGCUAAGACCGAUGUGAAAUCCCCGGGCUCAACCUGGGAACUGCAUUGGUGACUGGCAGGCUAGAGUAUGGCAGAGGGGGGUAGAAUUCCACGUGUAGCAGUGAAAUGCGUAGAGAUGUGGAGGAAUACCGAUGGCGAAGGCAGCCCCCUGGGCCAAUACUGACGCUCAUGCACGAAAGCGUGGGGAGCAAACAGGAUUAGAUACCCUGGUAGUCCACGCCCUAAAACGAUGUCAACUAGUUGUUGGGGAUUCAUUUCCUUAGUAACGUAGCUAACGCGUGAAGUUGACCGCCU
This 529-nucleotide ribosomal RNA is filed under the name uncultured bacterium. RNAcentral describes it as "partial 16S ribosomal RNA". It matches the Rfam family "Bacterial small subunit ribosomal RNA", at positions 355 to 874 of the family's 1533-position model. The record is from RNAcentral.